UGGUGCUCCAGCCACUCUCAGGCAUUGUUUCUCAAACAAUGUGGAGCACGUGGAGUUCUGGGGUCUUGAGAGAGACCGAUCUGAAGUCACCGACAUCUGGUUCUGGAAACAGAAAGCCAACAAAGAGUUAAAGCCAGAAGUGUCCAUCAUCCUAAAGGUUGAAGUCGCUUGAGGAGACAGUUGUGCAGUUCCCAGCGUCCUUUGAUUUGCAUUUCCCUGAUUGCUAAGGAGGAAGAGUCAGGCAUCGAUCUGUGCCUCACAGCACAAUGCAUCAGGCAUUGCUGUAAAGCCUGGGGAGACCCACGCCUACCCUGUGAGAAGCCGAGAUGCUGUGACAUGUUAGAGACCCACACUACAAAAUGCCAUCAAAACAUUGCUCAAAAAUAGGGCGACACAUGUGAAAGUGUGCUGAGAACUCCAGCGUACCAGAUGAUCACCCCCACUUCUUUUUAAAAAGUCAAUUAAAAAACUUUUGAGCAUUUCA
Molecule: long non-coding RNA, 484 nt
Organism: Mesocricetus auratus (golden hamster)
Lineage: Eukaryota; Metazoa; Chordata; Mammalia; Rodentia; Cricetidae
Exons: 2
Source: RefSeq, a predicted model, not a curated record